This is a long non-coding RNA of Rattus norvegicus (Norway rat), 409 nucleotides long. RefSeq lists it as uncharacterized. Lineage: Eukaryota; Metazoa; Chordata; Mammalia; Rodentia; Muridae. The record is from RefSeq and is a predicted model, not a curated record.
GGAGAUCAGCAAAGAAAGCAAGAGAAACCAAUGCAGAAAUGUCAUCAGUGAAGCCCAGAGUUAGUAAAGCCUAAGGAAGACCAGCAGAUCCUUGCAUGGCUCCACCCAGCAAAUGACUGAAACAGAGGCAGAGACCCACAAUCACAUAUUGGACGGAGGUCAGGGACUCUAAUGGACAAUUUAGAGGAGGGAAUGAAGACCCAGGAAAGGUUGAAACUCCACAAGAAGACCAACAGAGUCAACUAAUCUGGACACUUGGGGACUCAGAGACUAAACCACCAAUCAAAGAACACACAAUGUCUGCAUCUAUGUCCCCCACACAUACGUAGUAGAUGUUCUGCUCGGUCUUCCUGUGGAUCCCAUAAUUGGAGCUGGGGAUUGUCUGUGGAAUAAAUUCUAGCUGGGAUGA